UGGGUAGCCUGCGAACAGGCUCUCAAGCUGAAUUGAGAGCCUGCAUCGAUGACUGAUGAAUUUGAAUAUCUGCCCCGUAACGUUCGUUUUUCCAAAUAUGGAAUGUCUAUCCUUAUAUGGUGUUGUUUACAACUUUCGUGCAAACUAAAUUUAGACCGUGCAAACUAAAUUACAGUUUAUACAGUCUCUCGAAAUAUAAGACAUUCAAGCAAAAGUUUAAAUGUUUUAAAUACUGUUUUCUCAAAACAGAACAUUUCGUGCUUUGAGAUAAGAUGGCCAAGACCAAUUUGAUCAGUUAAUGUGUUUUUAUGCAUAGUGCUUGCAG
Paramuricea clavata is the source of this 325-nucleotide non-coding RNA. The record is from the annotation of a GenBank genome assembly. Lineage: Eukaryota; Metazoa; Cnidaria; Anthozoa; Malacalcyonacea; Plexauridae.